Molecule: transfer RNA, 82 nt
Filed under: Felis catus (domestic cat)
Lineage: Eukaryota; Metazoa; Chordata; Mammalia; Carnivora; Felidae
Rfam family: tRNA
About the family: Transfer RNA (tRNA) molecules are approximately 80 nucleotides in length. Their secondary structure includes four short double-helical elements and three loops (D, anti-codon, and T loops).
Source: Rfam by way of RNAcentral
GCCGGGGUGGCUCAGUGGGUUAAGCAUCUGACUUAAGCUCAGGUCAUGUCUCUGUUCGUGGGUUCGAGUCCCACAUGAGGCU